UCUCCCUCCCUCUUAGAUUUCCAGAUGCCCAAAUUGAUCAUAACCCUUUUUCCAUCAUCAAAUGUGGUGUUCUUGAGAAAUAAGCAACAAACCAACAAAAACAAAUAGAAAAAAGUAAUAGAUUAGAGCACGUGUAAAUCGGGCAUCCGAUCGACAACAAUUGUGAUUUUGGUUCAGAGCAUAUUUGAUUUGUAGAAAGAGAACUGAAAGAAUCAAGGGAAAGAAAAUCCUCUUUAAGGAGUUACAUAGAUGACCCAUCUAGUCUCUAUCAUAACCAAUUUUGAUUUGUAGGAUGAAGACAUGUUCAAUUAGAAGUGAGGGUCUAUCAAUUGCUCGUCGG
Molecule: long non-coding RNA, 340 nt
Filed under: Panax ginseng (ginseng)
Lineage: Eukaryota; Viridiplantae; Streptophyta; Magnoliopsida; Apiales; Araliaceae
Description: long non-coding RNA (PGIN_LNC010219)
Source: RNAcentral